CCCUUGGCCUUGACAUACUAAGAACUUUCCAGAGAUGGAUUGGUGCCUUCGGGAACUUAGAUACAGGUGCUGCAUGGCUGUCGUCAGCUCGUGUCGUGAGAUGUUGGGUUAAGUCCGCAACGAGCGCAACCCUUUUCCUAUUUGCCAGCGGGUCAUGCCGGGAACUUUAAGGAUACUGCCAGUGACAAACUGGAGGAAGGCGGGGACGACGUCAAGUCAUUAUGGCCCUUACGGCCAGGGCUACACACGUGCUACAAUGGUCGGUACAAAGGGUUGCUACCUCGCGAGAGGAUGCUAAUCUCAAAAAGCCGAUCGUAGUCCGGAUCGCAGUCUGCAACUCGACUGCGUGAAGUCGGAAUCGCUAGUAAUCGCGGAUCAGAAUGCCGCGGUGAAUACGUUCCCGGGCCUUGUACACACCGCCCGUCACACCAUGGGAGUUUGUUGCACCAGAAGUAGGUAGUCUAACCGCAAGGAGGACGCUUACCACGGUGUGGCCGAUGACUGGGGUGAAGUCGUAACAAGGUAAGCGUAGAUGA
RNAcentral lists this ribosomal RNA (536 nucleotides) under uncultured bacterium. Its description in RNAcentral is "bacterial SSU rRNA". It matches the Rfam family "Bacterial small subunit ribosomal RNA", at positions 972 to 1509 of the family's 1533-position model. The record is from RNAcentral.